RNAcentral lists this ribosomal RNA (660 nucleotides) under Nothobranchius rubroreticulatus. RNAcentral describes it as "partial 16S ribosomal RNA". The stretch from base 250 to 660 matches the Rfam family "Bacterial large subunit ribosomal RNA", at positions 568 to 1141 of the family's 2925-position model. Lineage: Eukaryota; Metazoa; Chordata; Actinopteri; Cyprinodontiformes; Nothobranchiidae. The record is from RNAcentral.
AUAGCUAAACCAAAGCAUUUCACUUACACCGAAAAGUUAUCUGUGCAAACCAGAUUACUCUGAUACUUAAAAGCUAGCUAUUAACAUAUAUACACUAAAUAAAUAUUAAUUCAUAUUAAUAUACAAAAAUUAUAAUUAAACCAUUUUUCAUGUCUUAGUAUAGGUGAUAGAAAAAGAACAUUAAGCUAUAGAUAAAGUACCGUAAGGAAAUGCUGAAAGAGUAAUGAAAUAAUACGGUAAAGUAACAUAAAGCAGAGAUAAAAACUCGUACCUUUUGCAUCAUGAUUUAGUAAGAACUAAUUAAGCAAAAUGUUUUCUAGUUUACUUCCCCGAAACUAAGUGAGCUACUCCAGGACAGCCUAAUAAUAGGGCAAACACGUCCCUGUGGCAAAAGGGUGUGAAGAUCCUCGAGUAGCGGCGACAAACCUACCGAACCUAGUAAUAGCUGGUUGUCUGUGAAUUAAAUAGAAGUUUAGCCUUUUAUCUUUUGAAUUUAACAAUGACUUAAUCAUCACUAUAAUAAAAGAAAAUUAAAGAGUUAUUCAUAAGGGGUUCAGCCCUUAUGAAAAAGGAUACAACCUCACUAGGUGAUUAAUGACAUAUAUAAAGUUGGUGUCUAAGUGGGCUUAAAAGCAGCCACCUACAGAAAAGCGUUAAAGC